CGGUGUUCAACUGGCGUGCCCGCGGGACGUCCUGCCGGUGAGCUCAGCCCGCGAGGGCGGCUCAACUUGAAAUCCCAUCGCGGUGCUCUUCAUUGAGUGUCGAGGUGGGCCGGCACGAUUACUUUUGAACAAAUUAGAGUGCUUAAAGCAGGCUAAAAUUUUGCCUGAAUACUGUGUAUAUGGAAUAAUGGAAUAGGACCUCGGUUCUAUUUUGUUGGUUUUCGGAACCCCGAGGUAAUGAUUAAUAGGAACGGAUGGGGGCAUUCGUAUUGCGACGUUAGAGGUGAAAUUCUUGGAUCGUCGCAAGACGGACUAAAGCGAAAGCAUUUGCCAAAAACGCUUUCAUUGAUCAAGAACGAAAGUUAGAGGUUCGAAGGCGAUCAGAUACCGCCCUAGUUCUAACCAUAAACUAUGCCAGCUAGCGAUCCGCCGACGUCCCUCUGAUGACUCGGCGGGCAGCUUCCGGGAAACCAAAGCUUUUGGGUUCCGGGGGAAGUAUGGUUGCAAAGCUGAAACUUAAAGGAAUUGACGGAAGGGCACCACCAGGAGUGGAGCGUGCGGCUUAAUUUGACUCAACACGGGAAACCUCACCAGGCCCAGACACUGGAAGGAUUGACAGAUUGAGAGCUCUUUCUUGAUUCAGUGGGUGGUGGUGCAUGGCCGUUCUUAGUCGGUGGAGCGAUUUGUCAGGUUAAUUCCGAUAACGGACGAGACUCUGACCUGAUAACUAGACGCACUUGCGGCAUCUCAAAGGUCCGCCGGCGGCUGGCUUUGCGCCCGUCGUCGCGCGCGAUUUUUACUGCCGGCGUACAAUAAAUUCUUCUUAGAGGGACAAGUGG
This 839-nucleotide ribosomal RNA is filed under the name uncultured eukaryote. Its description in RNAcentral is "SSU rRNA". It matches the Rfam family "Eukaryotic small subunit ribosomal RNA", at positions 635 to 1426 of the family's 1831-position model. The record is from RNAcentral.